AGAAGGUUGUGACAGUCUCAGUCAGACUUCUUAGAGGAAACAGGAGCCUGUCCCUUCUCCUCCAUGUCCAUACUAGCCUGCUGAAUCCUUUACUUACAGGAUCAGCUGAAUAUGUCUAGUUGACUCAAGGGUCUUUUUCUGCCUCCCUCUGUUACAGCUGUGUUACCUUUUUACAUAGCAAAGCAAAAAUAGAGACAGACAAAAUAUAAAUGCAAAUCUGAGUAGCCUAGGGAAUUGAUCAGAAAGUCUUAUCUGAUUCUUAGGUUUUUACAGAGAACUGGAAACUAUUUAUUAAAGUACUAGGAGGAGCUAUGAUAGAGAAUGAGGCUAGGAAGAAAACCAUAUUGUAUAUAUUGAAUUAAAGUUUGCCGUGUUUACAUUCAACAAUAUAUGGACAAGUAAGUGUGCACUGACACUGUUUUACCUGAUAAUAUGAGUUUUCAUGGGGUUGUGAGAG
Molecule: long non-coding RNA, 457 nt
Filed under: Homo sapiens (human)
Lineage: Eukaryota; Metazoa; Chordata; Mammalia; Primates; Hominidae
Description: HSALNT0041227
Source: RNAcentral